Molecule: ribosomal RNA, 490 nt
Filed under: uncultured bacterium
Lineage: Bacteria
Description: partial 16S ribosomal RNA
Rfam family: Bacterial small subunit ribosomal RNA
Source: RNAcentral
AAUGAACGCUGGCGGCAUGCCUUACACUUGCCAGUCGAACGGCAGCAUGACCUAGCUUGCUAGGUUGAUGGCGAGUGGCGAACGGGUGAGUAAUGCAUCGGAACGUGCCUUUUAGUGGGGGAUAACGUAGCGAAAGUUACGCUAAUACCGCAUAUUCUCUGAGGAGGAAAGCAGGGGACCUUCGGGCCUUGCGCUAGAAGAGCGGCCGAUGUCGGAUUAGCUAGUUGGUGAGGUAAGGGCUCACCAAGGCAACGAUCCGUAGCGGGUCUGAGAGGAUGAUCCGCCACACUGGGACUGAGACACGGCCCAGACUCCUACGGGAGGCAGCAGUGGGGAAUUUUGGACAAUGGGCGCAAGCCUGAUCCAGCCAUGCCGCGUGAGUGAAGAAGGCCUUCGGGUUGUAAAGCUCUUUCGGCUGGGAAGAAAUCGCACCCUCUAAUACAGGGUGUGGAUGACGGUACCAGCAUAAGAAGCACCGGCUAACUACGUG